Molecule: long non-coding RNA, 298 nt
Filed under: Olea europaea subsp. europaea
Lineage: Eukaryota; Viridiplantae; Streptophyta; Magnoliopsida; Lamiales; Oleaceae
Source: RNAcentral
CCUUCCACCAAUUGGAACAAAGACAACUGCUCAACAGCACGAAUUGAACGAUUUCAGCAAGCUUCCGAGCUCUUAAAAGUAAUUUCUCUAUUCACAGAAGUCGCAUUGAUGGAAUUUUAGGAGCUCUUUGAGAACACAUUUGAGGAUUUAAUAAUGUUUGUGCUUUAAGUUUCUGAGAGUGGAAUGUUUGCUUAUAGUUACGACUUCAUUGUGAUUUGGUUUCUUGAUGUUUUUGUCCUUUUAAUGCUGUUAUCGUUACUCUAAACGAAGUAAAUUCGAAUUUAUUUUUCUGAUAUAU